GCUGGCGACAAUAGCAAGAGUGAACCACCUGAUCCCUUCCCGAACUCAGAAGUGAAACCUCUUAGCGCUGAUG
This 73-nucleotide ribosomal RNA is filed under the name Acinetobacter guillouiae. The record is from RNAcentral. Lineage: Bacteria; Pseudomonadati; Pseudomonadota; Gammaproteobacteria; Moraxellales; Moraxellaceae.